This is a transfer RNA of Idiomarina sp. A28L, 73 nucleotides long. It matches the Rfam family "tRNA". From Rfam's summary of the family: Transfer RNA (tRNA) molecules are approximately 80 nucleotides in length. Their secondary structure includes four short double-helical elements and three loops (D, anti-codon, and T loops). NCBI's taxonomy places the organism in Bacteria, Pseudomonadati, Pseudomonadota, Gammaproteobacteria, Alteromonadales, Idiomarinaceae. The record is from Rfam.
GUCCCCUUCGUCUAGAGGCCUAGGACACCGCCCUUUCACGGCGGUAACAGGGGUUCGAAUCCCCUAGGGGACG